AUUGAACGCUGGCGGCAUGCCUUACACAUGCAAGUCGAACGGCAGCACGAGGGCAACCCUGGUGGCGAGUGGCGAACGGGUGAGUAAUACAUCGGAACGUGCCCCGUAGCGGGGGACAACCAGUCGAAAGACUGGCUAAUACCGCAUACGCUCCACGGAGGAAAGCGGGGGACCGCAAGGCCUCGCGCUAUUGGAGCGGCCGAUGUCCGAUUAGCUUGUUGGCGGGGUAAGAGCCCACCAAGGCGACGAUCGGUAGCUGGUCUGAGAGGAUGAUCAGCCACACUGGGACUGAGACACGGCCCAGACUCCUACGGGAGGCAGCAGUGGGGAAUUUGGACAAUGGGGCAACCCUGAUCCAGCCAUGCCGCGUGCGGGAAGAAGGCCU
RNAcentral lists this ribosomal RNA (385 nucleotides) under uncultured bacterium. RNAcentral's name for it is "bacterial SSU rRNA". It matches the Rfam family "Bacterial small subunit ribosomal RNA", at positions 29 to 417 of the family's 1533-position model. The record is from RNAcentral.